AAGCUCGUAGUUGAAUUUCGGGAUCAAUAUUUCGGUCAUGCCGUUGGUAUGCACUGUUAUCAUUGAUUUCUCACCUUCUAAAGAACCGUGAUGCCAUUAAUUUGGUGUUACGGGGAAUUAGGACUGUUACCUUGAAAGAAUUAGAGUGUUUAAAGCAGGCUCACGCUUGAAUACAUUAGCAUGGAAUAAUGAAAUAGGACAUCCGAUUCUAUUUUGUUGGUUUCUAGGAUCGAUGUAAUGAUUAAUAGGGAUAGUUGGGGGCAUUAGUAUUCAAUUGUCAGAGGUGAAAUUCUUGGAUUUAUUGAAGACUAACUACUGCGAAAGCAUUUGCCAAGGAUGUUUUCAUUAAUCAAGAACGAGAGUUAGGGGAUCGAAGACGAUCAGAUACCGUCGUAGUCUUAACCAUAAACUAUGCCGACUAGGGAUCGGAUGAUGUUAAUUUUUUAAUGACUCAUUCGGCA
This 461-nucleotide ribosomal RNA is filed under the name uncultured Glomus. Its description in RNAcentral is "SSU rRNA". It matches the Rfam family "Eukaryotic small subunit ribosomal RNA", at positions 624 to 1085 of the family's 1831-position model. The record is from RNAcentral. Lineage: Eukaryota; Fungi; Glomeromycota; Glomeromycetes; Glomerales; Glomeraceae.